RNAcentral lists this long non-coding RNA (246 nucleotides) under Coffea arabica (coffee). RNAcentral's name for it is "long non-coding RNA (CARA_LNC004700)". Lineage: Eukaryota; Viridiplantae; Streptophyta; Magnoliopsida; Gentianales; Rubiaceae. The record is from RNAcentral.
AAUGAAUUUACAUAUGUAUCCUUUUGAUUCAAAAUACUUCCUUGUUAAAUGUGCACUAAAAUUUUAAAGAGUUGUCUUUCAAAUGGCAAAAUUAGAAAGCAAGUAUCAAAUUUAAAAAUAAUGACUCUUAUUUGGGACAUCAAUAAAAUGAAAGCAUGACAUUAAUAAUGAGACGGAAGAAGUAUUUAUUUGUCUCAAAUCCUCUAUUGACUAGUAGUUCUCAUUACUUUGACAACUUGCGUUGAU